GCGAGGGUUUCCGAGCCAGGUCAAAGGAGCGGGAUUUAGGGUCCCGUCCCGCAGGGGUUCGUGCGUUCGAAUCGCACCCCUCGCA
Molecule: transfer RNA, 85 nt
Filed under: Methanomicrobiales archaeon
Lineage: Archaea; Methanobacteriati; Methanobacteriota; Methanomicrobia; Methanomicrobiales
Description: tRNA-Leu
Source: RNAcentral